CCCCCUUCAGCAGCCCCCUUCCAGUUCUGGAGACACCUGACCAGCUGAGAGAGCACUGCAGAGGAGCUGGACCCGGACAGAGGUAGUCUGCGGAUGACCCCUCCACGCAGGGCGCAGACACGCCCAGAACGCGGGGUCCUGGGACCAGCUGGCGGGAAGGUGGAGGCGUACCGCAGAGGACGCGCGGAAGAGACAGGGCCCAGAUGACAGCGGGUCCUACCAGCCCGACCAGACUACAUGGACAGGACAGCAGGGCAUAAAGGUGCUGAGGAGGUGACCAUUCCUGGGCUGCAGAGAUGGCAUGAACAGUGACCAGGGCAAGACAACACAGUCCACACAGCUGCAGGUCACUGGAAUUCUUCACAUGCAGUGCUUAAAGCAAUCCUUCAGGACUAAAGGUAGAAGGUGGCUGUGAGUGGAGUGACUCAGGUGGGACCAGCAUGGAUGUGCGGUGGAGUAGCCUGAAGCCAGUCUGCAGGAGGAAUUUGUCUCAAAGACUAAGUCUCACAGCAUCUCUUUGGAAAAGCUAAAAUCACAUGGAAUGAUUUGUGGCAAAUCCCCCCAGUCUGCAUGCUUGUAAUAGAGCAGAACGUGUCAGAUAAAUAGAACGUAUAUAUUUUGGAGAAGAAUUUCAGCUUAAAUGUUGCCUAAACCUCAUUCAUAGGUAGAUUCUGGAAAGAAGAAUGGCUGAAACCUGGGCGCCAGAUCCUUGAAUGCCACAUUAUAACAUACACGUCACAGAAGUGGUUGGGUAGCAACGUGUGUAUGUACUUGGACACUGUAUUUUGAGUACACUGGGGACCAUGGAAGCAUCGGGACUCCCUCUUCCAGGGAGCUGGAAUCAUCGCAAGCACCUCAGCCAGUGGGUGUGAAACAACCCCCAGGAUUCUGGGUUUAUACUAAUGGAGGUAGAGCACAAACUCUCAAUUUUGGGAACAGCCCCUUCCAACUCUCACAACUUAGUAUUUCUCAUCAACCACAAGAUUGACUGAGCCUUCAUGGCCAAGAAACUUCUGCUGUGCAGAGAUGAAAGCUGUUACUCGUAACUUGACAGCAUGCUCCCGUUAAAUGAUAUCCUGUGCAGGGGACCAAGAAAUGGACAAGAGGAAGAGAGGAGCUUCAAGUGUGUUUUGGGAGACUCUCAGGAAGCACAGCACAUCUCUGGUGAUCUAAGCCUCGAUGCCCGUGAUGCUGUCUUGGACCUGAAACACCCUCGCUUUCUCCUCUCCCGGUGCCAAGGAUGCUGUGGCUCCUCCACGCUCGGGACAUGGUCCUGAAGCCGAGAUGCCCACACGGCUGCUUGAACCUCUGCGGGGCCUGCCUUCUCUGUCUCCAGCAAAGGAAAGAAAUGAAAAAAUAUUCACUCCAUGAAAAGAAAAAAGAAAACCCCUAUUUUUACAGCAUAUUGAUUCUCAACCAUAAUUUCCCUACAUGGAUAUAAACAUGCAGCUGGUACCUGGAGCCUCAGUUUGAGGAACGUGUAGGACACAAGGUCGUUCAGGAAGAAACUGUAGGAAGUCAGUCUGGCAAGAGGUGAAAACAUAGACCAGUGAGAGCCUGACCAGCAAUCUGGAAGUUUCUGAGACUCACUUA
Orcinus orca (killer whale) is the source of this 1593-nucleotide long non-coding RNA. RefSeq lists it as uncharacterized. NCBI's taxonomy places the organism in Eukaryota, Metazoa, Chordata, Mammalia, Artiodactyla, Delphinidae. The record is from RefSeq and is a predicted model, not a curated record. The transcript is spliced from 6 exons.